Long non-coding RNA from Peromyscus californicus insignis, 14011 nucleotides. RefSeq lists it as uncharacterized. The transcript has 5 exons. The record is from RefSeq and is a predicted model, not a curated record. Lineage: Eukaryota; Metazoa; Chordata; Mammalia; Rodentia; Cricetidae.
UCAGUUCCCUUCACUUAGUCAAAUGCGCUGCUUCUUGGAGAAAUUUAUGUCCUUAACACAUGAAAAGAAAGAGCAGCAGCGUUUCAUCCUCCAAGCCAGGCUCUACGUGAAGGCAUUUGUUACAAAGUCACAUACCACAACUACCACGGCAGAACUACCAAGAUCCUGAGUCAUCUACUCCAUGCCUCCCCACAAGCUGCUCUGCUUCUGAUCAAGAAUGCUGUCUGAGACAAGGCUUCUGAGUUACUGGUAAAGUAGAAUGCUGAGGUUUAAGGGAGCAGAGAUUUGAAAGAUACUGCCCUAUCCGAUGGAACAGUUCUUGGUUUUACUUUGAAAUGAAGUACCUAGAGUCUUUGGGUGGCCUAAAGGUGCCUCCACAGGAGCAAAUGGUAACAAACGAAUGAGUGAACACAAAAGACAUCAGUAAACAGCAGGAGCAGGUCAGGUGCAUGGCUUCACAUUAAGUAAAUUGUAGGUGAGUAAUUCAUACCUGCAUUCUAACUGUCCAUUUUUUCCAAAGGUACUUCUGCCAGACACUAGAUCACUACUGCAUUUAAAAAGUUCAAAGAGCACGUUCAGAUUUGAAACUAUAGGCCUCAUUUAUUUCUGCUUUCUCAGCUGGCAAACAUGAAAAGCUCCCAAGCAGUAAAAGAUGAAGAAAUAACUUACAGUGGAUGGAAAAUGUUAGGAAAGCACAGGCUAGACAAUUCUAUGAGUCACUUUUGAGAUAGCUAACGGGAUAGGGAUUCCAGGCCACUCAUUAAAGUGUGGGUUGAAUCGUUGCUUUAUUUUUCAAGAAUUUCCAUGGGAGGCACUUGGAGAGAAAAACAGGAGGUAGUCAUACUCAACUGCAGCCAGGAAAGGACCUUUGAGAGCAGCGAGAUGUUGGCACAAGCAGAAGAUACUCUACAGCACAGAUAGAGUUCCAGUCUUCCAUGAUUUUUAGAAGGCUUUAUGGCACUAUUUCAACAGUAAACUGCAGUAUUCAAAAGCUUACCUUAAGUGAAUAAAUGUUGCUUAUAAGUCACUUUUCAUUUUCUUCCAGGUUCAUAAAUAAAGCAUGGAGGUUGUCUAAAAUUUAAGUAUUAGAAGUGUCUAUUUCUUGCAAAGGAAAAAAAUUUCUAAAAUAGAAAAUAGUGUUAGAUUCACAAUUUUCUUUGUGAGAAGAAAUUAUUAGCUAUUAUUUCAAAAAUGAACUUUAAAAAGAAUGCUUACCUUUCAGACAUUAAAUUAGGAUAAUAUCAAGACAUUUAUUACUUACCUCAUGGGAAAAUAUGUUUUACACUCUCCAAACAAUCUUCCCAAAUUAGACAACUGUCGACUAUAUCUGGUGAGGACAAAUGGUACAAAGAAGACAUCACAAGUCCUGGUUCUUUCACACGCUAAAGUUGUAGCACCUCUAAGAAGAUGAGAAAAUAAUAGCAUCUAAUGCUGGGGAUUAUGUGAUAGAAACCUGCAAACAAUCCGUGUGUGUGCAGAACCAGCUACAGAAACAUUCUGGUCAACUUCGUAGACUUCAAGUUGACAUAAUCUACUCAUUUGGUCCCUUUACUUCAGACAAAUAUUUUACUUGAGUUUUGUCAAUUAAGCAACAAAAUCCACUAAUUUCAGUUUUCUUUUUUAAUUUUAAAUGUAUCUUUUACUUAAGAAUUUCUCAAAUGUUUCAAAGAUGUGAACAUAAGGUUAUAUUUUCACUCUUUUUGAACCCAAAUUAUUUAAUGAUUUCCAACACAGGAUAUAACAUACCCCAAGAGACAGAUCAAGAACAGAUCAACAAAACAUCAGUGUAGGGAGAAAGAUCAGAAAGGAAAGCAUGCCCCCUGCUGUUUAUGGAGUGACACUGGCCAACAGUACUUUGUCUGAAUGCGUGAGUCUGGAACAUACAAGAGGAUGAAUGCUUUCCCUGAGUCCCUACAUCCUACUUGCAGCAUGUGGCAACAUGCCUGUGACCAAAAGUACAUAACGAAUUAGUACAGACAGCUCUAGCUUCUGUCUUCCUCUGCACAUUACAGAGGUUUGAACUUGUGUGUCUUGUAUUUGAUCUCUGAAGCAUCUGGAUGAUAUGUGUCCAUAAAUAUGAUUGUGCAAUUAUUAAAGAGUUUUGCAUGCUCUAUUUGGCCAGCAGUGAUGGUUGCCUGGUGACAGAGCAAAAAUAAUCAUCUGGCCGGGCGGUGGUGGCGCACGCCUUUAAUCCCAGCACUCGGGAGGCAGAGGCAGGCGGAUCUCUGUGAGUUCCAGGCCAGCCUGGGCUACCAAGUGAGUCCCAGGAAAGGCGCAAAGCUACACAGAGAAACCCUGUCUCGAAAAACCAAAAAAAUAUAUAAAUAAAUAAAUAAAAUAAUCAUCUGAAGAAAUUUCUUCAUUACUUCUGUCUUUUGCCUAAAAGAGAAACAAGUGUAAAUGGCACUCGGCCUUGUGAGAAGACAAGCACUUAUAAUAAAUUGCCUAUUGAUGGUUUCAUAGACUUCUGAAAAGUUCACACUAUUCAACAAAUAUUUUACAAUAAUUGGCAAGUGAAUUUUACACACGCCUGUUGAUCUAGGGCACAGGUGUGAUUGGGGCUCUUGAUUUACAUCACCUGCUACAGAUCUUAUCAGUGUGAAGCCUGGACUAUCUGCUCAGUUUUCAUGUCUGCUCUUCCUCAUCCACAAAUUAGGAUCACACUUACAGUUACCUAACUAGGCUGCAUAAGAUUUAAUAUAGAAAUAAUGGCAUUUAAUACAAGUGAUUAAAAGUAUAAAUACUAUAUAUUAUUAUUAUUUCUUUAAAAUUUGUUACAAUGACUUUUGAGGAACGAAGUUCUCAUAAUGAAAUAUUUUAAAAUAUAUUAGAGUGUCCAGUAACAAUUAAGAAAUAAAUAUCUGGGUCUGAAGAGGUGGCUCUGAGGUUAAGAGCACUUGCUGCUCUUCCAGAGAACAGGGGAUGGAUUUCCAGUUCUUUCAUGGCAGCUCACGCCAUCUGUAAAUCCAAUUCCACGGUAUCUGAUGCCCUCUUCUGGCUUCUAUUGACACUACACACAUGUGGUGCACAACUAUACAUCCAGGCAAAACACCCACUAUAUAAAAUAAAGAUAAAUCUUUUAAAAAGAGAUAUUUUCAAAAUAGAAAAAAAAGAUAUAAGUAGCUGUUUGUAGAAAACAGCACAACUCAGCCAACAUAUACAAAAGUAUGUUUUUUAAGUACCUGGACAAGGCAAACUUUACUCUUGAUCAAGAUGGUACACUUGAAAGUGAGAUCGGAGAGGCAGGAAGUGCAUUUGGUUUUAUUCUAACUUUAGCUGUGUUUUUGCCUCAUUAGCUAUGGUCCAAAUGCACAGUCUUCUUCAACUGGCUAGUCUGAAAAUAAUUGGAGCACAGAAAGUGAAGGAGGAAAGGGAAGGGGAACAUAGUUCCAAGGAGAAAAGGGUCACUGCUCACGUCAUCAAACUCCUAGAAUAGAGCCAUGAGUUUUUUUGUAAACAAAGGUUUUACUGGGUGGGGGGUUAAAAUAUUUUCAUGCAAAUGUUGCAAGGUGGAGGGAGAUAAAAAGAUUUUAAUUCCUUGUCCUAUACACAUGUUUUAUAGUAUUUGAUAGAAAAAAAAUUAUAUUUGAUAUUUCUCACAAACAUCUCUUUUAAAAAAAACACUCUUUCAAGUUCAUUAAGGUAUUGGCCCUCUUUUUCUGUUCUGUCUUGGAGUAAGAAGCUGCAAUAGGAAAGGAUUACCCUUCAGUAAUAGUUGACUCAAUUAUCCUGAGAUAGGCCCCCAAUACAAAGAAUUAAUUAGUCCAUCUAUUUCGUUAGCACAGCUUAAGGUGAUCCCAACUUCCUAGGAAUGGUUCCUUGGCCAGGAGAGUGAUCAGACUCCAUUGGAAUGUUAAGACUGUGCCCAGGCCAGAGAUUCCAUUUUCUUGACCCAGAGGCAUUUUCUCUUCAAAGGCCUUUGUUGCUACUUUAACAUUCCACCUACCUAAAAACCCUGAUCACUUAGGAACUAGAUGAGAUAUCAGGCUUCCUAAAACACUUUUAGCAUCUUUAGCCUUUGGCAGGGAUGAAACUGUUAGGAAUCCCAAGGACAUAUCUAGCUUUUAGACGAGAACGAAACUGGUUACUUUUCUUUGGGGGUCUUUGUAGCAUAAGCUGCCUAGCCAGGUUCUACCUCAUCCCCUCUCCCUUAUCAUCCCUCAUUCCUUUGAAGAGACAAUCCUGUCAUUAUGAGAUUGGGGCAAUGAUCCCCUGGCUUCUCCUAGGUGAAUGUAGAAUGCCGGGUGUGGUAGUAUUGCAGUACCCCUCCAAAGGGCCUGUCAGAUGUAUGAAGGAAAUGAAGCCUUUGUCUGGAGAGGAUUUUAAAAUGUCCAAAUCAAACUCCAUUAGAAUUUCUUGAUGGCAUCCCAAGAGCCUCCAUCUUUUGGAGUCUUUGUUUUCCUUUGACCUCUAAGGUUGACCUCCAGAGUGAUGAAUCUGUUAGAUCCAAAGAGGUCUCCCAAAUGGCAGUACUAAUGACAAAAACAGAAUUAUAAGGUGGGUUUCUGUUUAUCAGACACCUUAACUCACCCCUGAAGGUCAACUACCUCAGACAAGUGCAUCUAGUUCCUGGUUAAUUCAAACAGCCUGUGUCAGCCCAAAGACCCGCACUCUGCUGUCUAUCAUAUAAAAUCUUCUGCCCCACUAGAGAUAGGCUUGCUGGUUUGAUUCCCAAUAAGCCUUUCUUUCUACCCAUGGAGUGGUCCAAUUUGGUGAUGUCACUGUGCCCUCACUUACAGAGCCAACAGUCUGCUUUUGUGCCUUUUAAUAGCUAUUGCAUCAGCAAAAAGUCAGCAUAAUGCCCUUCUCAUUUGGCUUCUAGAUGGGGAAAGAAGUGUUUAUCCAUCAUUCAGUUCUUAGGUUAAAACAAUAGUGGACUUGUCUCCCUUGGCUGUGGGAAGGUGCUACAGUGAGCCAAGAUCAGAAGUCUUGCACCUGGGCAACUUCUUUUUAUCAGGAAGAAAAUCUUAGUGAGAUAUAGUUGUCUAAAUAACAUCUCAUGUAGACUUACAUCUAAUGUGAAGGGAGUUCAAUCCCUUGUACUGUUACCAAUCCUCUUAGGUCUUGUUUAUACGUUCCUGAUAGACGUUUAAGACUGCAAUGGCCAGGAUUAACUUUUAUUUUUGUACUGUCAAGGUCAGUUAAGGAUCUGGUCCUCAGGGAUCCCUCAGCCUUGAGAGUAACCUUAAUAUUUCCUAGGGACAAACUAGAGAGGAGUUUGAGGUUAUCCAUCAGUGUCAGGAUAACUUAGCGUGACUGAAGCUUCCCAUGGAAGUGCUCAGGAACUCUUUCCUCUUCAUUGACUUUCCAUUAUUAAAGAAGAUUUUUGAGAAAUGAGCCACAGUCCCCUGGGACCUCAUUGACCUUGGAGGUCUGGGGAAAAAUAGUCUUUCUUUCAAUUUUUCUGACCACAUUAAAAUAGCCUCCAAAUGUGAUUAUCAAAUACCUAGAUCAGUCACACAAGUCUGGUUCUUAUAAUUAUUUCAUAAUAUUUUAAUAACCAGAAAUAUCUAAAUCAACUUUGAUUAGACAUACAUUUUAGCCAAUCCUUGUAAUUGGUAUCUUUGUCCUUACAAACUUUAAUAUCAUAGGCAUCAUCUCUAAGAUUCAUCCUCUAUGUACCUUAUAUAAUUUCCUCCAAACUUCACAGCUUGCAAAAGCUUUCUAGUCUUUUCUGUUUGGAAAAUAUCUAGCCCUCUUAAUCUUCAACCAAAGUUCAGUCUCACCAAAGAUCCCCCUGGGGAAACAAUGCAUGUAUUGGGUUCACUCACUGAGUGUAGGUACAGGGUUACUGACAGGGAUGUGGGUAUUCCCAAAGCAGCCAAACCUGGAAGCCUCCACACAAGCUAUAGCUUUCCCAUAGCAGCAUAAGUGAUCUUUCUCAGCCUACACACACUAUCUCCCAUGCCAAACCACAAGGCCACAUUGAUUAGGGCCCAAUGCAUACAAAUGGCUGGAAGAGAAGCUAGAUAUUCAGAAUGAAAAUCCAAUAACCCUCUUUACCCACUCCUUCUAUGAAAGAAUAGGAACAGUCAACAAACCCAGUGGUGGUCAUCUUUUGUAAGCAAACAAGGCUGGUCUUAGGAAGAUAGCAGUUGUUUGGCUUAGAAUAGUGCAGCACAAUACCACUUCAAUAAUAAUAAUAAUAACCUGAAUAUAGGAAACUGCAUACAUAAAAUAAUCCAGUAAAUUAAUAUUUCCUAGGGACAUACUUGUGGUGGUAUUGUGUUCCCCAAAAUAUUGUACACCCUAAUAAACUUAUCUGGGGUCAGAGACAGAACAGCCAAUAGAUAAAAAGGCUAGAAAAUGGUGGCACUCACACCUUUAAUCCUAGCAUUCCAGAGGCAGAAAUCCAUGUGUUCAAGGAUACAGCCAAGCAUGGUGACUCACGCCUUUAAUCCCAGAAAGCGAGCCUUUAAUCCCAGGGAGUGAUGGUAGAAGGCAGAAAGAUAUAUAAGGUGUGAGGACCAGAAACUAGAAGCAUUUGGCUGGUUAAGCUUUAGGCUUUCGAGCAACAGUUCAGCUGAGAGCCAUUUGGAUGAAGACUCAGAAGUUUCCAGUCUGAGGAAACAAGACCAGCCGAGAAGUUGGCCAGGUGAGGUUAGCUGUGGCUUGUUCUGUCUCUCUGAUCUUCCAGUGUUCACCCCAAUACUUGGCCCCAGGUUUGUUUUAUUAAUAAGACUCUUUAGAUUCAUGCUGCACAUACUAUUAAGCUAAAUCUUAUUUUAAAAAAAAUGCCACAAGGCAGUUUUUAUAUAGACCAUGGAGUCACUACCCAUAACCUUGUAUUAGGUUUUGAAUGAGUAUAUGUAGAAGACAUAAAGCAGUAGAAAUGUAUAGCAAAACAUCACCAAAUUGAUGCUUGCAACAUCCGGUAAAACUAGGCUAAGAAAUCUGUUAAAACUAUGAUGCUGGAGUUACUAUAGAGAGAUCUUUAAGCAGAGGGUCUGCUCUAGCCUUUCCAUGGAUGAGCAUCCCAUUAGAUGUUUUUACUACAGGCAUCUUUAUCUCAUGAAAUAAAUAUCAAUAUACACAACAAGUGCUGUUUCUUUAUAAAGCUGCAUCCAUGGAUUUACAUUCAACAACAGACUGGAUGCUGAAUCCAGUGACAGCUAGCAGGACCAAACGCACCAAUCUUCCUCAGUUCCUUAUAACCCUUACAAAUUUGUUUACAUCACUCAUCAUCUUUUGGGUUGUGCACUGAGAACAGGGAUUAACAGACCGAAUAUAUGAGUUAGAGUACCUCACCAAACAGAACAUUUGAAUCUGAAGAGUCACCUUCUGAUGUCUUCACCAAAAAUGAGUGGCAGUCAGUACGCAUGAUAAAGGAGGACCAAGCCAACAGAAGUAUCUGUCUUCACAAAUAUCCAUACCGAGACCCUUCCUAGCUAGACUUGGGGUGACCAAUACCCACAAUCUAUUUAAGUACAUCUGUAAACAGAGGCAGGCAACCUGAAAAACUUAGUAAGUACCCUCCCUCCUACAAAGACAUCAAGUUGUAGGACAAUACAAUAUUUUUUUUCUAUAAAGACCACUCUUUAUCCUCUAGUUCAUAUUCAGGCCAGGACUGUGUACAGGAAAGCCUUAGACAUUCCUUCCUUAAGGUUCCUGGAUGAAGAGAACCCAAUGGGUGAAGAUACAGUGAGAGAGUCUUCACUGAUAGCCACCCAUCUGUAUGACAAAACUUUAUUGAAAGAUAUUCCACAUCCUUGUCUCCUUCUCCAGAAUGUCCACUGGAGUUCCUAGUUCUUAUUCCUUUUCUCAUGGGUAAACAUGAGAAAUGGAGAUCUAUCUGGUAAGUUACUUUACUAUUUAUAUAAAUAAUGUAUCUGCAUGGCCCUACCGCAGCCAGAAUCUAUGCUGAUAUCCAGGAUUCCUGCUACCACUGAAGGCUGAGCAGAUGCUCAGGGUCUGGGCUGCCUCCUGGGGACAUGUUGGUGUUUGAAGGCCAUGCUGCCACUGGGGCCAUGCCAAUCUAGGUGACCUGCGAUACCAGCUAGAGCCAUAAUGACAUUUGAGCCCAAGCUGCUGCCAAGGACCAUGUCUGGGUCCACGGUCCUACCACAGCCUAGGUCUGUGUUGAUGUCCAUGGCCAAUGUUGCCACCAAAGACUACACGGAUGCCCAGGAUCUAGUUCACCAACUAGGCCAUGUUGUUGCCUGAGGGCCAUGCCACUGCCAGGGACAUACAGACCUGAAUGGCAUGUACUGCCACUCAGUGCCAUGGCAUCAUAUGAGCCUGAGCUAUGGCAGGGGCCAUGUCUGGGUCCAUGGUCCCAUUAUGAUGUCAGAGGCUCCUGUCAUCAUCAAGGGCCAUGCAGAUGCUCAGGAUCUGGGCCACCACCUGGGGCCAUGCUGGUGUUCGAGGGCCAUGUUACCACUGGGUUCAUGCCAAUCUGAGUGACCUGCAACCACCAACUGGGGCCAUGGUGACAUCCAGGCUGCUGACAAGGACCAUGUGUGGGUCUGUGGUCCAACCACAGCUGGGAUCUGUGUUGAUAUCCAUAGUCCAUGUUGCCACCAAGGGCCACAUGAAUGUCCAGGGUCUGAGCCACCACCUAGGGUCAUGUUAGUGUCUAAGGGCCAUGCUGUUGCUGGGGCCAUAUAGAUCUGAGUGGCCUGUGCUGCCAUCCAGGGCCAUAGUGUUCUACAGUCCCAGGCUGCUACCAAGGGCCAUAUCUAGGUCUGUUACUCUGCUGCAGUCGUGGUCCGUGUUGAUGUCCCUGGCUCCUGUUAUCACCAAAGACAGUGAGGAUAGGGCUGCACAGAGUUGGCCCCACCCCUCACUGGCUGCAGUGCUAGGGAGAACUGGCCCUGACCCUCACCAGCUGCAGCACUCAGGAGAGCUGCCGAGGGCCGUGGGAGUAUACAGCAGAUGACAGCUAGUGUUCCACAGCAGAUGUGCAACUCCCUGAUGAGGAGCCCCACCUGGCAAAGCCGUGGGGUCACUGGCUGUGGAAAUCGCUUGUUUUCUGCCUGUAACCUUCUCAGGUGCCACUGCUAUGCCUCCCUAAUAAGAGCAGCUGUGGGGUGCUUUCCACUGCUCUUUGGUAGUGUGUUUUACAUCUCUGGGCACACAUAUAGUUAUGGAUGUUCAGGAAGAUGAUUUCUGUUUAAGCUAUAUAAUUCUGAUGUAUAAAAAUAGUACCAGAAUAUUCUUUACUGACACAGGAAAGUAACAGUAUUCUCAGUCUCAAAGACAGCAUUUUACACUUUUUGCAAAGACCUUAGAACUAGUCCAAAACAGACUAAGCUGCCCCUGCAAAAUAUACACAAAGACUAAUCCCCAGGUCUUGUCUAUUGCUAAAUCAAGGCCAGGCUGUUUACAUCAAGACAUAGUCCUUGCAGUAACUCCCUUUCUGCACCUACCGUGACCACUCAAGGUUCAGCCAAUUGUUUAAUGUCUGGGACCCCUCACCAACUUAGAGCUACAUGCAUGGGUCAGUGUGACUUACUAGCCUGAGAGAAACUACAUGACUUAUCCUGUGUUUUGAGAAUGGGUAGGGCUCUGAAAAUGUAACUUACAAUUGUCCAGAUUUUGGCUGUGGAACAGAGCAGGAGCGAUGUAGAGAGAGGGGAUGAUGAGGAGCAGCAAAGGAGAGCAGGGCAGCAGAGGUGCAGAGAGAGAGAGAGAGCAGAGGAAGGAUGUAGAGAGAGAGAUGUGGAGGCAGUGAAAGGGAAUUAGAGAAGCUGUUGAGUAGAGAAUGAGAAGGGAUGAAGAGCUAAUUAGGAAACUGUGAAGAGAGAUUUUUUUCAAAGAGAUUUUUCAAGAUGAAGUAAGGAGAAGGUUACUAUCAGAAAGCAUCUGUAUUUCUUUAUUUUUCCCCUCAGAUAGAAAAGGUCUAGCCCUCAGGUAAGACUUUUUCCUAAACCCUCGCUACUCUGAGGUCUUCUUUUUGCUACUCCAGAGCAGACUGGGAGCUGGUCUCUCGGUCUGUGAUAGAGGACAGGCCCUCACCUCAUCUGGGCAGCACAGUAGAGCUGACCCUGUUGGCAGAAGCACAGGUGAGCUGGCCCUGAGGUCGGGAGAGCAGGAGAACUGGCCCUGCUCCUUGCUGGCUGCUUCACUGGGUGAGCUAGCUGGGGCAGUGGUGACGAUGAGGGAAAGCUGGCAGGCUGACCACCCCAGCUACCACCCAGCCCCAGAACCAGGGCUAUAAAUUAGCCCACCCCAGCAUCCACCUUAUCUGUAAGCUGCUGGAGCAUGUGAAGGGGCCAGACCUGCAGAUCCAAAACUGUAGGAUCUCGACGACACAGGACAACAACAGGAUAGUCAAGAAGAGCUCCAGUGAGGGCCCAGUAUCAAUAGUGCAGCAGAAGCCAGAGGCCUCGUACCAAACCAAUGGCUCAUUGCCAUAAACACAAGUAAAGAUGUAUAGACUAAAGGGAAUACUGUGUGAUACACUGGCCCACACUUCAGCUCCAUGGGAAGAUUUUGUUGUUGUUUUUGUUUUUCUUUUAAAUUUUAUUUUGGGAGGAAGGUUGCAAAGGCAGAGGAUGGAUACAUAUGGGAAGUGAGGGGGAUCAGGAUGCAUGACAUGAAAUCUACAAAGAAUCAAUAAAAAGUUUUUAAAAAAAUAAAUAAUAUAUCUGAUAUAAAUAGAAUACCUAAUGAAGAAUGGCCUGAAUAUCUGUAUUGGAUCAUGAGAAGGACAAUCUGUUUGGAUUCCCCGCUCCUAAAGACGUGACUCUUUUAAUACUUGGGAACUUACUGAAUUAUCUCUGUAUUUUAUCUGGCUAAUUUUAACGUGUUUGUGCUGGAUCUUCAUCCAUCAAAACUCCUGGAAUACAUAUAUUGAACCCCAUAUGCCAAAGAAAUCAGUAAACUUUGAAUGACCCUAAGUUAGGUGGAGGUUGGCUCCUUUGUGGGUUAAACUCUCAAUAUUUCCUUUAAACAUUCCCUUUGACCCUUUCUUUCAAAGGUAUAAACUAUUGAUCUCUAUUACUUUUUUUGAUCUAGAUAGGAGGCAAGCAGUAAUGGUAAAGUCUCCUUUUUAAAGUUAAUUUUCUGAUAGAAUCCCUCUUCUCUCCUUUGACUGGACUCCUGGAGCUAUGCCUGGUAUUUCACUGUGGAUCUCUGCAUCUGCCUCCAUCAAUCACUGGAGAAAAGCUCUGUGAUGACAGUUCGGGUACUCACCGAUCUGGUCACUGGGUCCACUCCUCCUCUGCUGGAUGGAAGCAUAGACCCACUGUUUCACAGAGACAGCGAUGAGCAUGGUUCCCCUAGAGCUGGCGGUAAACGUAGUUCCGCCAUGUUGGAAAGCUGAGAAGAUAAAAACCAAUGGAUUUCUUCCAGGCUAAUAUGGUUUGAUCAAGGAAGAUCCACUGACAGGCCCAGAUGAUCCAACAUCCAAACAGCUUCAAGGCAACUGGCUCAAAAAAUACAAUAUCACAGACUAUUCUAGUCAGGACUUGACCACAAUUCUUAAUUUUCUCAGGAUCCCCAUAAGAAUACAGUGCCCUUUAUCAGCAAGAAGUAGUCUAGAAAACUAUGCCCACAUUCCCAAAAAAAUGCAUUAUGGAUGUUUGUCUUUGUUUAGGUUGUUGGUUACAAAUUGUUAUUGGUCAUAGUCAAUAUCCUUCUAAAAGAAGAAAGGAGGAUAUAUAGGAAAUAUAGGAUAUAGAUAUGCUAGGAUGUAAGGGUGGAUUGUUGAACCUCCUUUUAAAGAACAACUUAUUUAAAAUGUUUUACAUUGGUAUAGAUUUUAGUUUAUUGAUACAAAUUUAAAGUUAAUUUUGUAUUACUUUAUGUAUAUUUCUACUCUUGUUUAAGGUAUUAUGUUUGUGUAACUCAUUUAAAUUGUAAUGAACAACUGAAAAAUACAGAAUAAUAAUUAGUCUUCUAUGAUAGUCAAACUCAUAGUCAUGUUAAGUUUUCUAGGUAUACAUAGAUAUAAUUCAAUUAGGUAGAUAAUCUUCAAACACUUCAAAGACCUACAGAAUAUGGCAUUUAAAAUGUUUUAAAAACUUAGGCUUUCCUGGAAAAUGAGACACAUCUGCUCGUGGCAGCACCAAUUUACUUCAGAGAGAAAUAUGGACAUCAAAGAUACUUCAUAUAGCGUUUAUCUUCUUCUUGGAAAAAUAGCCAUUUGGGCAAGAAACUGUUCUUGCCUGGACUGCUUGACAAAAUGUUGUAUCAACUGGAUAUGCAGGACCCAUAGGAAGGUGACCACUGAACUUUGCAAGGCAAAAUGGUCCUUCAGGUUCCUGCUUCACAGAAGAAACUGCCAGAUAUUCUACAGGACACAGAAAGAAGUGACUGAGAGACUCUAGACCUACAGGCUGAAGAUGGAUGCCCCAAUGUUACAGAGGAACUUUGAAUGACUGUCCAGGCAGCUGUUUCUGUCAUUCCAGAUUUUUGGAUGUUGCUUACAAUGUUCUUCCUGUUUACUUAGGUAAUAUUAUAUCCUUCUGUGGUCUUUGAUGUAGUUGAAGACUAGAUAGUUAUAAUUUUCCUUGGUUAUGAUAAAAGAUAAAUUAGAUAUGAAACUUUAGACUCACAAAUAUAGGAUAGAUAGAAUAUUUUCUUUAAUUUUGCCAAAUACAAAUAGACUAGAUAUUGUAACUGUAAUUCUUGCUUGAUAACUGUUCUAUUAUAUGUAAUUUUACCAUGUUAAAAUUAAAACCUCCCUUUUUGUUUAGACAGAAAAGGGGAAAUGCCAUAGGAUAAUACUUUUGUACAUUUGUUUAAUGAAAUGCUGAUUUGGCCAGUAGCCAGGCAGGAAGUAUAGGCAGGGAGAGCCGACUAAAGGAAUGCUGGGAAAGGAAAAGGCAGAGUCAGGAGUCCUCAUCCAGACACAGAGGAGGCAAGAUGACAAGGAAGAACUAAGAAAAGGUACCAAGCCACAUGGCUAAAUAUAGAUAAGAAUUAUGGAUUAAUUUAAGUACAAGAGUGAGUCAGUAAUAAGCAUGAGCUAAUGGCCGAGCAGUUAUAAAUAAUAUUAAGCCUCUGUGUGAUUAUUUUAUAAAAGUCUGCUGAACUGUGAGUGAGAGAUUUGUCCUGACCACAAGCCAGACGGGACACAGGAAAACAUUCAGCUACAUUUGACUUUGUUCACUUGAGUAUAGCCUUCUCUUUUAUGAAGUUUAAAGAAAGUUAAAUGCCCUGGCAGAUAUCUUUAUGCUCACUCAGAAAGAAAAAAUUGAGAGGUUUAAAUUUCACUGCUGUCUCAGGUUCUGUGACUGACUCUGUAAUCUUAGCUGCACACUGGCAGGAAAUAGAAAGUCUGUUUUGUGCAUUUUGCUACACAUGCUCUUUUAACAAAUAUUUAUCUAUAAGGGCUUAAGAAUAAAUGACAAAAUCCAUGUAAUUGUAAAAUUCAUUUUUGCUUUACAAUUUUUCUUACUUAUAUUUGAAAUUAAUUGUAUGAUUCCUGAACUCAUUCCCACAACUUUAUUAGGACAUUAAAUUAAAUUUCCACAUGAUUUUAAUAAAAAAUGCUUUCUUUCAGAAUAGAGUUUAUCUUGUGUCAGAAGUACUUCUGACAUAUCACACAAUGUGUUGGUUAGCCACACUCUCAAAGAAACUCUAGGGAAAAUAUGACUCACUAUAUGGGCAAGGUCAUUUCUUUUUAUAAGAACAUUUUUUUAAUCUGAGUAAAUUUUGCUUUAAUUAUGUAGCACUGAAAUUUUUCUGUUGAAUUUUUUCCCUCUGGAGAAUUAAGCUUCUUGAUUUAAAAGAAAAGUUUGUUGUGUAGCUAUUUCCUCCUAAUUGAAAUAUUCCCGCCUGGAGUGAAAGGGUGGCUUAUAAGACUUGGGUAGCUAAUGAAACUCAGUGAACUCAGAAAAUUCUGGAAAGGUACAGGAUUCACAGGAUGCAUAUGCAGGGUUAUCUAAGCAGUAAACAACUGUCCGGGAGAAAAGAGAUGGCUGCUGGGGCCAUCUACAAGUUAUACAAAGAUGUGGCAUUCAUGAUUUCUCACUCAUGAUAAGACAAGGAGAUAAAGCUGCAUUUCAGUCACAAAUGCACUCUGUAAGCAACCUCUCACCAAUACCCCUGUAAAAUAACUGCA